GCCUUGGUCGGAAACCAAGGCUCGUAAAGGAG
Molecule: regulatory RNA element, 32 nt
Organism: Coriobacteriaceae bacterium CHKCI002
Lineage: Bacteria; Bacillati; Actinomycetota; Coriobacteriia; Coriobacteriales; Coriobacteriaceae
Rfam family: L31-Coriobacteria ribosomal protein leader
Source: Rfam